ACCUAAMMMAUACAAAGUCGGGCGGUAACAGGCGUAGCAAUACGUGCUGACGAGCGGCGAACGGGUGAGUAAUGCUUUGGAAUCUUCCCAGUAGUGGGGAAUAACCAGUCGAAAGAUUGGCUAAUACCGCAUACGUCCGAGAGGGGAAAGCGGGGGACCGUAAGGCCUCGCGCUAUUGGAUGAGCCAAAGUCGGAUUAGCUUGUUGGUGAGGUAAUGGCUCACCAAGGCGACAAUCCGUAGCUGGUCUGAGAGGACGACCAGCCACACCGGAACUGAGACACGGUCCGGACUCCUACGGGAGGCAGCAGUGGGGAAUAUUGGACAAUGGGGGAAACCCUGAUCCAGCGACGCCGCGUGUGUGAAGAAGGCCUGCGGGUUGUAAAGCACUUUUAGUGGGGACAAAAAGCCAGGGGCUAACACCAUCUGGUCUUGAUUUAACCCACAGAAAAAGCACCGGCUAACUCUGUGCCAGCAGCCGCGGUAAUACAGAGGGUGCAAGCGUUAAUCGGAAUUACUGGGCGUAAAGCGCGCGUAGACGGUUUUGUAAGUCAGAUGUGAAAUCCCCGGGCUCAACCUGGGAACUGCAUUUGAUACUGCUUGGCUAGAGUACGGUAGAGGGAAGUGGAAUUUCCGGUGUAGCGGUGAAAUGCGUAGAUAUCGGAAGGAACACCAGUGGCGAAAGCGACUUCCUGYACCAGUAUCGACGUUCAUGUGCGARARGCGUGGGGAGYAAAACAGGAUUAGAUACCCUGUUAGUCCACGCCAUAAACGAUGACAACUAGAUGUUGGGAGGGUCUGCCCUUUCCGGUGUCGCARCUAAMGCCGUUAARUU
This 833-nucleotide ribosomal RNA is filed under the name uncultured Thermomonas sp. Its description in RNAcentral is "bacterial SSU rRNA". It matches the Rfam family "Bacterial small subunit ribosomal RNA", at positions 46 to 866 of the family's 1533-position model. The record is from RNAcentral. Lineage: Bacteria; Pseudomonadati; Pseudomonadota; Gammaproteobacteria; Lysobacterales; Lysobacteraceae.